GCCGGGCGUUGUGGCAGGCACCUGUAGUCCCAACUACUUGGGAGGCUGAGGCAAGAGAAUCACCUAGGCCCAGGAGCUGGAGGUUGCUGUGAACUGUGACGCCACGGCACUCUACCAAGGGUGACAAGGUAAGACUCUGUCUCUAAAAAAAAAAUCUUGUGAACAAAGCUAAGGAUUAUCAAACGUCCCCUGGGUAGAGUGCCAUGGCAUCAUAUCUCACAGCAAUCCCAAACUCUUGGGCUGAAGCAAUCCUCUUGCC
Molecule: small RNA, 259 nt
Filed under: Otolemur garnettii (small-eared galago)
Lineage: Eukaryota; Metazoa; Chordata; Mammalia; Primates; Galagidae
Description: Metazoan signal recognition particle RNA (ENSOGAG00000033766.1)
Source: RNAcentral